This 325-nucleotide ribosomal RNA is filed under the name uncultured bacterium. Its description in RNAcentral is "bacterial SSU rRNA". It matches the Rfam family "Bacterial small subunit ribosomal RNA", at positions 28 to 334 of the family's 1533-position model. The record is from RNAcentral.
GAUGAACGCUGGCGGCGUGCUUAACACAUGCAAGUCGAGCGGAGUACCUUUGAAAGAGGAUUCGUCCAAUUGAUAAGGUUACUUAGUGGCGGACGGGUGAGUAACGCGUGAGGAACCUGCCUUGGAGUGGGGAAUAACACAGUGAAAAUUGUGCUAAUACCGCAUAACAUACGGAUGUCGCAUGGCAACCGUAUCAAAGAUUAUAUCGCUUGAAGAUGGACUCGCGUCCGAUUAGCCAGUUGGCGGGGUAACGGCCCACCAAAGCGACGAUCGGUAGCCGGACUGAGAGGUUGAACGGCCACAUUGGGACUGAGACACGGCCCAG